GACGAACGCUGGCGGCGUGCUUAACACAUGCAAGUCGAACGGAAAGGCCCUGCUUUUGUGGGGUGCUCGAGUGGCGAACGGGUGAGUAACACGUGAGUAACCUGCCCUUGACUUUGGGAUAACUUCAGGAAACUGGGGCUAAUACCGGAUAGGAGCUCCUGCUGCAUGGUGGGGGUUGGAAAGUUUCGGCGGUUGGGGAUGGACUCGCGGCUUAUCAGCUUGUUGGUGGGGUAGUGGCUUACCAAGGCUUUGACGGGUAGCCGGCCUGAGAGGGUGACCGGCCACAUUGGGACUGAGAUACGGCCCAGACUCCUACGGGAGGCAGCAGUGGGGAAUAUUGCACAAUGGGCGGAAGCCUGAUGCAGCAACGCCGCGUGCGGGAUGACGGCCUUCGGGUUGUAAACCGCUUUCGCCUGUGACGAAGCGUGAGUGACGGUAAUGGGUAAAGAAGCACCGGCUAACUACGUGCCAGCAGCCGCGGUGAUACGUAGGGUGCGAGCGUUGUCCGGAUUUAUUGGGCGUAAAGGGCUCGUAGGUGGUUGAUCGCGUCGGAAGUGUAAUCUUGGGGCUUAACCCUGAGCGUGCUUUCGAUACGGGUUGACUUGAGGAAGGUAGGGGAGAAUGGAAUUCCUGGUGGAGCGGUGGAAUGCGCAGAUAUCAGGAGGAACACCAGUGGCGAAGGCGGUUCUCUGGGCCUUUCCUGACGCUGAGGAGCGAAAGCGUGGGGAGCGAACAGGCUUAGAUACCCUGGUAGUCCACGCUGUAAACGGUGGGUACUAGGUGUGGGGUCCAUUCCACGGGUUCCGUGCCGUAGCUAACGCUUUAAGUACCCCGCCUGGGGAGUACGGCCGCAAGGCUAAAACUCAAAGGAAUUGACGGGGCCCCGCACAAGCGGCGGAGCAUGCGGAUUAAUUCGAUGCAACGCGUAGAACCUUACCCGGGUUUGACAUGGAUCGGGAGUGCUCAGAGAUGGGUGUGCCUCUUUUGGGGUCGGUUCACAGGUGGUGCAUGCCUGUCGUCAGCUCGUGUCGUGAGAUGUUGGGUUAAGUCCCGCAACGAGCGCAACCCUUGUUCACUGUUGCCAGCACGUUAUGGUGGGGACUCAGUGGAGACCGCCGGGGUCAACUCGGAGGAAGGUGGGGAUGACGUCAAGUCAUCAUGCCCCUUAUGUCCAGGGCUUCACGCAUGCUACAAUGGCUGGUACAGAGAGUGGCGAGCCUGUGAGGGUGAGCGAAUCUCGGAAAGCCGGUCUCAGUUCGGAUUGGGGUCUGCAACUCGACCUCAUGAAGUCGGAGUCGCUAGUAAUCGCAGAUCAGCAACGCUGCGGUGAAUACGUUCCCGGG
This 1343-nucleotide ribosomal RNA is filed under the name uncultured bacterium. RNAcentral's name for it is "16S ribosomal RNA". It matches the Rfam family "Bacterial small subunit ribosomal RNA", at positions 28 to 1378 of the family's 1533-position model. The record is from RNAcentral.